RNAcentral lists this transfer RNA (72 nucleotides) under Bos taurus (domestic cattle). It matches the Rfam family "tRNA". From Rfam's summary of the family: Transfer RNA (tRNA) molecules are approximately 80 nucleotides in length. Their secondary structure includes four short double-helical elements and three loops (D, anti-codon, and T loops). The record is from Rfam by way of RNAcentral. RNAcentral also lists the same sequence under 2 other names. Lineage: Eukaryota; Metazoa; Chordata; Mammalia; Artiodactyla; Bovidae.
CCCCAGGUAGCUUAGUGGUAAAGAAUCUGCCUGCCAAUGCAGGGGAUACAGGUUUGAUCCCUGGCUUGGGAA